UUACCGUGAUAAAGGAAAUCAGUUUUAGACCUCGGUGUUUCUGAAGUGGGGGCUAACCCACGGAUAAGAAGACAACAUCUGUGGAGAAGUAGAAAGCUCCUUCAGAUGACUUGAGUCUCUCCUGAGAAUUAUUUAGUGACCGAAGUAUUGGAGAUUCAGCGUCAGUCCUCCUAAUGAAUAUUCAGAGUUGAUUUCCUUCAGGAUUGACUGGUUUGAUCUCCUGGCUGUUCAAGGGACUUUAAAGAGUCUUCUCCAGCACCAUAAUUAUCUCCUCUCCAUUAGAAUUGCCAGCUUGCAUCUCUCGUGCUGUGACCCACUCCCUCCUCAGCCCCAAGUGUGGCGUGGGCCUUUCUCCUGGCCGUGGGGCAAGGCUGAAGUGCCAAGCCCAUGGCU
Molecule: long non-coding RNA, 393 nt
Organism: Bubalus bubalis (water buffalo)
Lineage: Eukaryota; Metazoa; Chordata; Mammalia; Artiodactyla; Bovidae
Exons: 3
Source: RefSeq, a predicted model, not a curated record